GAUGAACGCUAGCGGCAGGCCUAACACAUGCAAGUCGAGGGGCAGCACAGAAACAGCAAUGUUUUGGUGGCGACCGGCGGACGGGUGCGUAACGCGUAUGCAACCUACCUUUAACAGGGGGAUAACGGAGAGAAAUUUCCACUAAUACCCCAUAACAUCGAUCAAGGCAUCUUGAUUGGUUGAAAACUCCGGUGGUUAAAGAUGGGCAUGCGUUGUAUUAGGUAGUUGGUGAGGUAAUGGCUCACCAAGCCUACGAUACAUAGGGGGACUGAGAGGUUGGCCCCCCACACUGGUACUGAGACACGGGCCAGACUCCUACGGGAGGCAGCAGUGAGGAAUAUUGGUCAAUGGGGGCAACCCUGAACCAGCCAUGCCGCGUGCAGGAAGACGGCUCUAUGAGUUGUAAACUGCUUUUAAACAGGGAUAAAGCACAGUGUGUAUACUGUGUUGAAGGUACUGCAAGAAUAAGGAUCGGCUAACUCCGUGCCAGCCGCCGCCGUAA
RNAcentral lists this ribosomal RNA (502 nucleotides) under uncultured bacterium. RNAcentral's name for it is "partial 16S ribosomal RNA". It matches the Rfam family "Bacterial small subunit ribosomal RNA", at positions 28 to 523 of the family's 1533-position model. The record is from RNAcentral.